Musa acuminata AAA Group (dessert banana) is the source of this 2003-nucleotide long non-coding RNA. RefSeq lists it as uncharacterized. Lineage: Eukaryota; Viridiplantae; Streptophyta; Magnoliopsida; Zingiberales; Musaceae. The transcript has 2 exons. The record is from RefSeq and is a predicted model, not a curated record.
UGGAGGAGCUGAGACGUUCAUUUCACGACGAAGCCCACCAAAACAAGUCCUAACGAUUUUUUGCUAGAUUAAUGAAGAGGGGGAUUGGUCGUAUGACCUGUAUGUGACUGUGUUCAUGACAUGAUAUGACACACCAAAGCUCUAAAUACGUGGAUCAUAUUGCUCGAAGAAGGCACCGCAGAUGAGCAGAGAAGAUGCAUGUCUUGACAAGUAGAAUAACAGUGAUCCACAGCGUCCUUCUCCUUCCCUCUCUCUACCCUUCGCCCGUCUCUUUCUAUCCUUUGAGAUCCCAAGCCAUGGUUCGUAAGGUCGAAACGUGUCAGAUCUUGCGUGGGAGCUUUAUUAGGUCUCAGUAGCGGCAGCAAUCACCGUAACACCUCACUCUUCUUCUUCUUCUUCUCUCUCUCUCUCUCUCUCUCUCUCUCUCUCUCUCAUGGUGGGGAAAGGGAUGAGGUGCAUGAGGAUCGAUCGGGGACUUGCUUCGUUUCGCCUGCCCUAUGAUUCCGUUGGGUGCUGGGAAAGGAUUUGCUGUUGGUAUUGCCUCGAUACAACUAAAAAGAGUACUACUGCAGGAGACUGCGAGAUUCCUCUCGUGGGUCCAUAAAUCCACCGUCUUUCCAGGCUCGAUCCAGCCACCGGUGUCGCUCGGCCUGUGGGUUCGUUCCAACAGUACCUCCCCCCUUGCAGUGCUCCUAUCUUCUUAUUCCUGUUGCUUGCCAUCUCCUCUCCUCCGACUCACUCGCCUCAAGCUCUCUUCUCCCGUUACACUCCGUCUCCGUGGGAACAGAAGUCGGUGUUUGCAGCUGUGGCAUCAUCAAGAUUCACACCGACCGGAUGCCCCGCCGUCCUCGUCGUCGAUGAGAAUCUUGAUGAUGCUGCAUCGGCAAAUAAGCGGCUAAACAACACAUGCCACCACCAUCAAGCCAUCAUCUCCUCAGAGGUCAAGUUUCUUGCUGCCGCUUUUGUUCUUAUAGAUGGAUUUCCCGACUUCAUUUACCUUCCAUACCUUUAGUUGAUUGUUUGCAGGGUAGUAAGCAAGCCUUUAAGUCUAAGUUAUUGUCACUCAAGUAGAUAGAUCUUUAUCAGCUUUCAGAUUCCAAGAAGUGAUACCAAUCAAUUAUGCUUUCACAAGAAUACACCAACAGAUGGUUGUGAGUAUGGCCAUACGAUCAUCUUCCUAUGUGCCAAUAUUCCUUCUUCGAAAAACCAGCCAAAGAGCUGAGCUUGACGAUUAUUCGAAGCAUGGAGAAAGCGAAGAACUGCGAUAUCCGUAUCUUCCUCUUUCUUCUCUACGGUUAGGUAUUAAACAUCUGUGUUUUGAGAUGAAGAAUGGUAAGCUAUCCAAUAUUACAUAGCAAAAUGAUUAUUACAAAAGCUGUCUUAGAUGGUUUCAGUCUCUUUUGUACUUUUGUGUUGCAAUUUCCUUUCAGUAAUACUUUCUUCUAUAGUGUUCUUCUUAGACUACCAGCAAAUAUCUUCUCAACGUCACAUUCUGGUUGAGAUGGGCGAUGUUAUGUGACACGGAAGAAAGCAAAUGGAGAAUCCCCCAUUUAGAUAGAAAGAUGAAGCAUCAUUCGAAGCACACAUGUACAGGAAUCAUCUGAAGAGGCAAACACCUCGAAAGCUCCAACUCCAUGACAGUUCCAGUGACUUCCUCUUCAGCUUUGACGAAUGUACUCAAAGAGCUGCUUUUCAUCUCAAGAAAGAGAAAAAAGAGGGCACAAUUCCAUCAUCAAUCACUCAUGCAGGUGGUCCUCGCAGAAGGUACAUAUUGCUAGUUGUUUCUGAAGUGGACCUAUACAUGAUGAUGAUGCAGAGAUUUGUCUGGUAAUUUUAUUUGAUCUCCUCCUCCAUUUUAGCAGACAAAACAAUCAUGUAGCGUAUUAAAGGCUGAACACAUGUAUACCUCCCUCUUUCCACGAUCGAACAGUAUACCUCCGUAUUUGUAAUAGUUGAUAUAGCUCACAACCAAUCUCAGUGAAAUAUCAAACUAUUGGGGUUGA